CCUACGGGGUGCAGCAGUGGGGAAUAUUGCACAAUGGGGGGAACCCUGAUGCAGCGACGCCGCGUGAGUGAAGAAGUAUUUCGGUAUGUAAAGCUCUAUCAGCAGGGAAGAAAAUGACGGUACCUGACUAAGAAGCCCCGGCUAACUACGUGCCAGCAGCCGCGGUAAUCCGUAGGGGGCAAGAGUUAUCCGGAUUUACUGGGUGUAAAGGGAGCGCAGACGGCUGUGCAAGUCUGGAGUGAAAGGCGGGGGCCCAACCCCCGGACUGCUCUGGAAACUGUAAAGCUGGAGUGCAGGAGAGGUAAGCGGAAUUCCUAGUGUAGCGGUGAAAUGCGUAGAUAUUAGGAGGAAAACCAGUGGCGAAGGCGGCUUACUGGACUGCAACUGACGUUGAGGCUCGAAAGCGUGGGGAGCAAACAGGAUUAGAUACCCUUGUAGUC
RNAcentral lists this ribosomal RNA (440 nucleotides) under uncultured bacterium. RNAcentral describes it as "partial 16S ribosomal RNA". It matches the Rfam family "Bacterial small subunit ribosomal RNA", at positions 338 to 795 of the family's 1533-position model. The record is from RNAcentral.